UUCCUAAAAGUUUAAACUUUGAUUUGCAAAAUCAAACAACCUAACUAAUUAAUCUU
RNAcentral lists this transfer RNA (56 nucleotides) under Mesabolivar sp. ITV1036I2. Its description in RNAcentral is "tRNA-Cys". The record is from RNAcentral. Lineage: Eukaryota; Metazoa; Arthropoda; Arachnida; Araneae; Pholcidae.